CUCCUAGUAAGAUUAUUGAGAAGCCACCAAGUGGAGAGAGUUAUGGACCUGAAAACAGAAAGACAUGAAUUCAAAUCUUACUUCAGAUACUUUACUAGCCAUGUGACCCUGGGAAAGUCACUUAAAGCCUGUUUCAGUUUCCUUAUUGGUGAAUCUUCCUGGGUUGCUGUAAGGAUAAAAUGAAAUAUUUUUAAAGCACUUUGCAAACAGUAAAUUCAGGUCAGUCAUUUUCAGUCCUGUCCAUUUCCUCUUUCCAUUUGGGGUUUUCUUGGCAAAGAGAGUUUGCCAUUUCUUUCUCCAAAUCAUUUUUGAAACUGAGGAAACUGAGGCAAAUGGGGUUAAGUGACUUGUCCAGGGUCACACAGCUAGUAAAUGUCUGAGGACAGAUUUGAACUCAGGAAGAUUAGUUUUCCUGAGUUAGGCCCAGCAUGUAUCUGCCAUACCAUCUAGCUUUGUAUGUUUCACCUUCAUUUUGUAAUUGAGGAAAAUGAGACUCACAAAGAUUAAGGAUCAUAAGAUCUUAUGUACAGAGCUACUACAAAGGUCAUCAGUUCUAUCUCAUGACAACAUACCCUCUCUGAUUCUCCUUCCUUCCUUCCUUCCUUCCUUCCUUCCUUCCUUCCUUCCUUCCUUCCUUCCUUCCUUCCUUUCCUCCCUCCCUCCUCUUUCUCUCUCUCUUUCUUUCUCUCUUUCUCUCUCGUUCUCUCUUUCUUUCUCUCUUUCUCUCUCUUUCUUUCUCUCUCUUCCUUCCUUCCUUCCUUCCUCUCUUUCUUUCUUUCUUUCUUUCUUUCUUUCUUUCUUUCUUUCUUUCUUUCUUUCUUUCUUUCUUUCUUUCUUUCUUUCUUUCUUUCUUUCUUUCUUUCUUUCUUUCUUUCUUUCUUUCUUUCUUUCUUUCUUUCUUUCUCUUUCCUUCCUUCCUUCCUUCCUUCCUUCCUUCCUUCCUUCCUUCCUUCCUUCUUUCCUUCCUUCGUUCCUUCUUUCCUUCCUUCCUUUCUUCUGUGAACCCUCACUCCCAUUACAAAGGAAAGAUCUCUAUUCAUUUAAUCUAAUAUAAAAAAGAGCCAGCUUACUGAUAUGUAAAAUGAUAAUAAAAAAUCCUAUGGCACAUAUGUUAUGAAGAUC
RNAcentral lists this long non-coding RNA (1122 nucleotides) under Monodelphis domestica (gray short-tailed opossum). RNAcentral describes it as "lncRNA (ENSMODG00000049109.1)". The record is from RNAcentral. Lineage: Eukaryota; Metazoa; Chordata; Mammalia; Didelphimorphia; Didelphidae.